CGGACCCGGAAAGAGGCUUUGAGAGAGUGGGAAGGGAGCUAGCUCAUGAGCUGGGGUAUCCCUGGGUUGAAUACUGGGAAUUUCUGGGCUGUUUUGUUGAUCUGUCUUCCCAGGAAGGCCUGCAAAGACUAGAAGAAUAUCUCACACAGCAGGAAAUAGGCAAAAAGGCUCAACAAGAAACAGGAGAACGGGAAGCCUCCUGCCGAGAUAAAGCCACCACGUCUGAGAGGAGCCAUCAAAACUCGAUCAGGAUGUUUUGGCCGCUCUUGAAUGUGCAGACGUCGACCCCCAUCAGUUCCCGGCCGUGCACAGAUGGAAGAGUGCUGUCCUGUGCUACUCACCCUCGGACAGACAGAGUUGGCCCAGUCCCGCGGUGAAAGGAAGGUUCAAGUCUCAGCUGCCAGAUCUCAGUGGCCCUCACAGCUACAGUCCGGGGAGAAACAGCGUGGCUGGAAGCAACCCCGCAAAGCCAGGCCUGGGCAGUCCUGGGCGCUACAGCCCCGUGCACGGGAGCC
RNAcentral lists this long non-coding RNA (515 nucleotides) under Homo sapiens (human). RNAcentral's name for it is "non-protein coding lnc-GOLGA3-1:1". Lineage: Eukaryota; Metazoa; Chordata; Mammalia; Primates; Hominidae. The record is from RNAcentral.